This 84-nucleotide transfer RNA is filed under the name Fulvivirga imtechensis AK7. It matches the Rfam family "tRNA". Rfam says of the family: Transfer RNA (tRNA) molecules are approximately 80 nucleotides in length. Their secondary structure includes four short double-helical elements and three loops (D, anti-codon, and T loops). Further hydrogen bonds mediate the characteristic L-shaped molecular structure. tRNAs have two regions of fundamental functional importance: the anti-codon, which is responsible for specific mRNA codon recognition, and the 3' end, to which the tRNAs corresponding amino acid is attached (by aminoacyl-tRNA synthetases). tRNAs cope with the degeneracy of the genetic code in two manners: having more than one tRNA (with a specific anti-codon) for a particular amino acid; and 'wobble' base-pairing, i.e. permitting non-standard base-pairing at the 3rd anti-codon position. The record is from Rfam by way of RNAcentral. Lineage: Bacteria; Pseudomonadati; Bacteroidota; Cytophagia; Cytophagales; Fulvivirgaceae.
GCCUCUUUAGCUCAGUUGGUAGAGCAUCCCGAAUUUACUUAAUUUACUUCGGGAGGGUGCAGGGUUCAAGUCCUGUAAGAGGCU